Molecule: non-coding RNA, 84 nt
Filed under: unclassified sequences
Source: RNAcentral
AUUAUUCCGCCGCCGGGCGGAACAGAAGCGUUUGUUUUCGCAUCGUUAGGCCUUUGAAGAUGCGGGGACGGGCGCAUGAUACGC